GGAGCGAGCUACAAUGCAGUCGAAGCGUGUAGCAAUACACGAGUGGCGGACGGGUGAGUAACGCGUGGGAACCUGCCCAAUGGUAGGGAAUAACUGCGGGAAACUGCAGCUAAUACCCUAUGCUCCCUACGGGGGAAAGAUUUAUCGCCAUUGGAGGGGCCCGCGUCGGAUUAGCUAGUUGGCGGGGUAAUGGCCCACCAAGGCUACGAUCCGUAGCUGGUCUGAGAGGAUGAUCAGCCACACUGGGACUGAGAUACGGCCCAGACUCCUACGGGAGGCAGCAGUGGGGAAUAUUGGACAAUGGGGGAAACCCUGAUCCAGCAAUGCCGCGUGAGUGAAGAAGGCCUUAGGGUUGUAAAGCUCUUUCGGCGGGGACGAUGGUGACGGUACCCGCAGAAGAAGCCCCGGCUAACUUCGUGCCAGCAGCCGCGGUAAUACGAAGGGGGCUAGCGUUGUUCGGAAUCACUGGGCGUAAAGGGCGCGUAGGCGGCGCGACAAGUCAGGCGUGAAAGCCCCGGGCUCAACCCGGGAAUUGCGCUUGAUACUGUCGUGCUUGAGGCCGGGAGAGGAUGGCGGAAUUCCCAGUGUAGAGGUGAAAUUCGUAGAUAUUGGGAAGAACACCGGUGGCGAAGGCGGCCAUCUGGACCGGUUCUGACGCUGAGGCGCGAAAGCGUGGGGAGCAAACAGGAUUAGAUACCCUGGUAGUCCACGCCGUAAACGAUGAGUGCUAGACGUCGGGGGGUUCACCCUCCGGUGUCGCAGCUAACGCUUUAAGCACUCCGCCUGGGGAGUACGGUCGCAAGAUUAAACUCAAUGAAUUGACGGAANNNNNNNNNNNNNU
Molecule: ribosomal RNA, 841 nt
Filed under: uncultured bacterium
Lineage: Bacteria
Description: bacterial SSU rRNA
Rfam family: Bacterial small subunit ribosomal RNA
Source: RNAcentral